GGGCCUGUAGCUCAAUGGCAGAGCAACACUCUUAUAAGGUGUAGGUUCCCGGUUCGAGUCCAGGCAGGCCCA
RNAcentral lists this transfer RNA (72 nucleotides) under Candidatus Curtissbacteria bacterium RIFCSPHIGHO2_01_FULL_40_12. Its description in RNAcentral is "tRNA-Ile". It matches the Rfam family "tRNA". Rfam says of the family: Transfer RNA (tRNA) molecules are approximately 80 nucleotides in length. Lineage: Bacteria; Candidatus Curtissiibacteriota. RNAcentral also lists the same sequence under 3 other names. The record is from RNAcentral.